Non-coding RNA from Chiloscyllium plagiosum (whitespotted bambooshark), 3661 nucleotides. Lineage: Eukaryota; Metazoa; Chordata; Chondrichthyes; Orectolobiformes; Hemiscylliidae. The record is from RefSeq and is a predicted model, not a curated record.
CUGUUUGAUUGAAAUCACAAAGCGUUCUACUGCUUGAAAGAUAUACACAUUAUGAAUGUGGUUGGCGAUUUGGCAAAUUUGAGUUAAUGCACAAAGUGCUGAUUUAAAGUAUAUGCAUGCGCCUUACUAAGUGGGUUAGAUUUAAAUUAUGAAUGACUUCAUUGUGUUAUCAAUAUAAUUAAAUAGGCAACCAUGUGUUAUAUUUAUUUUUGGAUGAUGUAUGUAGAGAUAAUUAUGGUCCUACUUAGAAAUACAUAAAACUUAUCGUGAUUAUUUUCAAAUUGCUGCAAUGAAUUUCCCCACAAUUGUCUUGUAAUGAUUAUGACCGCAUUUGGAAUAAAAUAGUGGAUAUAGCAUAAAUUAUCCUCUAAUUAUACGCUACUGUCGCAUCAAUUAUCCUCUUAUCAAAGUGGUUGUCUAACUGCAGCGUUUAGUUUCAAUGCUUAUCUCACUAUAAAAAGAACUUUAUAACUAUUAUUUACACGGCCCUUUAAAUCUCAACUCACGGACGGUACUAUUCUUUGCGUCCCACCAUCAGCCGAGAGCGGAGAUUCUGGGAAGAUGUCCUUAUGGAUGAAAUAAGUGAAGUCUGUAUUGCAACAGUAAAUGUUUUAUAUUACUACAUUCAGGUGACACAAAAAUCAGAUGGAUUCUGAAGCAGUAUAUGCAUCCACCUGACAGAAAAGAUCACAGAUGAAAAGAUUAUGCAUUCAGACAAGCAGCAGAAUCAUUCUUACUGAAAAGGGCUGAAAUUGUGACAACUCCCUGCAAGAGUCCAGCUGAACAGAAAAUCCUUAAAGAAGGCAAAAUCAGCCACAUUAUCAACACUCAUUCCACUAUUAUACGUCACUUCACUGAACUGGAAUCAACGCCAAGUGCACUGUGGUUUGUCUGAAAAUGCACUAAUCUCACCACACCCACUGUCAUCAGACUUCUGCACAGAAAUCUGGUCGUUCUAUCUGCAUAUUGUGAAAGCUUUGUCGUCAUAAUGACCUCAGUAAUUUAAAUUCAUGUUUGGUUUUGGAACCUUCACUGAUUUUAUGAAUUGGCAAAAUAUUUUUCUUUCUUUGCAUUGGAGUAUCUACAUAAAUUAACUUGUGCUACUUUUUAAUUCUGUUCCCACAGUAACAUAUUCACUGACAUUUGAAAUUUUUGUGCCUGUGUGCAGAAUGUAAUAUUGUUGUCUUAAUUGCAUAAGUUUCAGCUAAUGACUCAGCUUCAUGUAGUUUUCCCAUCAGUUUCACACAUUUUGAGUGGUGCAGUAUUUAAACAGGCAAAGGUAAAAUCCGUACAAUUUUUUUUAUCAGUAUUUUUAGGCAGAUGCAUGCAAAUGAAGCGCUAUUGUUUUGAAAGCGUCCUGGUUAGUGAGCUGAGAAAGGAAACUGAAAUGUAAGUUCAACUGUAGAUUUAAUGAAGAAUUUAUUUAGAAUAUUCUGAGAAUGUGGAUCUUACCACUAUGUAGAGUAGUUGAAGCAGAAAGCAUUGUCAUGACAAUUGCAAAGUUGGUACAAUCACUCUGACUUCACCACUUCAACAACCCACAAUGAUCUCCCUCUCCAUGAUCUUUACGUUUCUUCCUCGUAUAAGGGAUGAGAGAUGUAAUUUGUUUUUGUCUGUUCAUCAUCUGCCAUUGAUCUCACCUAGCUGUUAAGGUUACUCCACUAUUUGCUGAAUGUUGAUGGUAAACAGUACUUUCACUCAGUGAGGGGGAAAUCAUUGCAAUGGAAAACAUGCUUAGUACAAUGCACUCUUAGGAAAUGUAACUCUUCCUCUUACCUGAUAACAUCAUUGCAGCAUUGUGUAGCCAACGAGGGGUAGACAACAGAUACAGCUUUUUCAAUGUACUCCACAUUCCAAAAACAAUUUGAAAGAAAUAAUAUACACCAGUAGUGUAUACAGCAGGAACUGAGAUCAAUCUACUUGCAUUCUGCUUCCCAAACUACUAAAAUAGAUGAAUGUAGAGUCAUAGAGUGUGACUCUAUGACUCUAUGACUUUAUUUUGAUCUAUUUUAAUAUAGUAAAAUAGAUGAAAAUCUUUCCUAAUUGAAUUAUGCUGCUGUAAUCAAUAUAUUAAAAAUUUAAAAUGACUCAAAAAAUUAUGAUUUUAUAAAUCAUAUUUGUCAAACAAAUUAUUUGCAGCAUAAGUCAGAUAUGUAUCAAAACAUUAAUAAAAACAUAGUGUAAUACAUACUUUUAACCACCAUAUUAAAAUUAUGCAGGUUUAUAUGUUGUAACAGAUUUUAAACAUUUUCAGCCAGUUAUUUGUUGGGUCUGAUGCAUCACUGCAACAUGUUAUCCAAUCCUCUGUUACAGUUCUUGUCAGCUUUGCAGAUAUUUACAUGUCUUCCCAGAUGAAAGAAAAGUAAUGUUAUACACUGGAGGCUGCUUGCUACUGUUGUAGGCUGAGUCAGUUUGCUCAGUUCUCUGUAGCACAAUCACAAUAAAAUGAGGUCCAUGUACCAUUAACAGCUCAUUCCCAUUAACUUACUUAAGGAUUUGCAUAUGUGUUUCAACUAGUUUAUGCAACAUACCAACAGAGCUAUUAACUCUCAAUUGUAUGGCAAGAUGCGGAAGGAGAGAGUGGAACAGAAAUGCUGCUGAUUUUCUGAUGUAUUUAAUAUGUUCACAGGGAAAACGGUGCAGCAAGCUUGGAACUGAAUCAACAAAUUGUUGUUUGAUAAAUAAUGCUUAGUUAAUUUUUUUAAUCCAAAUAGUAAAAUAGAAAUAUUUCACUGAUAUUAAAUUUGUAACAUGUUAAUUAUGAUUGAUAAUGAUAUAAAAGCUCUCUGCAUUUUUUAGAAUUGUGCCAAUAUUUAGAGCUUUCAAUUAUGAGGACUGGUUACACAAACGUGGCUUGUAUUCUCUUGAGUCUGAUCUGAUCAAUGAGCUUGAAGUGUUAAAAGCAAAUACAGUAUGGUCUACAGGUAGAUAAAUUGUGUCCUGUGAUGGUUGAACCAAGAAGAAGGGAACAUAAACUUAAAUUUAGUACUAAGCCAUUUGAGAACAAAAUCAGGAAAGGCUAUUUAUGAGACAAUGAUAGAGUAUAUAACAUGGCAUGUUAGAAUUUUGGAAUUCUCUGCUCUGUGAAUACUGGGAUAUUUGGAGUUUUCAAUUGACCUUGGUUAAGAAAGGCUAUGGAACAAUAUGGAUUUAAGGCAGGUAAAUGCAUUUGAAUAGAAGAUCAGCCAAGUCCUAAUAGCAAUUGGGGCCGGAAUGGUCUACUCUUUUACCUAUGAUCCAAAAACACAUCAAUAUUUCAUAUAUGUAUAGUUUAGGGUUUUCCAGUACAGAGGUACAAAUUAGAAUGCACCAUUCUGGAUAUCUGAUAACUGGAAAGAUAAAACUCUUGAGUUUGAAUGGGAUCAAAAUAGGACAAGGGACCGAGAAAAAUACAAGCCAUUGACAAAGAUCAUUGAGGUAUUGAAGCCAUGUUACACACUCUAUCAUUGUCUCAACUAAAUUAAUUUAUUAACAUAACGAAAGUAUUCCUUUUCAUUACAUUCAUGACCUCUUCAAUUGAGAUUGCUACUUUUCAUCAUUGAAUUUUUUAACCUAUGACUACUAAACUUGCAUUGUAACUAGUUAGUUGGCUUAUCUUCUUCAUGUUAGGUGACUCAGAGAAUUUGUUUGAACUAAUAAAGCCAUGUAACAAUUAAAUUAA